GAAAAGCCUGAAGAAAGGAAGACCGGAAAAGAAAUACAAGUCCUUCCGCCUUGGCAAAGAUGAUAGUACCGUUCCCUUCAGUGUUCCGGUUCUGCUCUAUUGGAUAAGUUCCGGUUUGACUAUGACUACGUGAAAAUGUGGAACCAGACCUUCACCCCACAUUCCAGCUCCAGCUCUACCACAGAGGAAGUGCAAUAUCACCUUAGUUAUUCAACACAUUAUGCUCCUCGUGAUACAACCAGAGUUCACAUCAGCAAUCUUGGCAGCUCUCACCACGCUGCUGACUCACGACUCUCUCAUGUCCCAAUUUCCUGUCCAUUGUUCUUUCCUCUACUUGGCCUGAUUUCUAAAGGCCUCUCUUGGUUGCAUUAAGCGGGAUUCCUGAGGGAUUCCCUUGGCAGUUACCUUGGGGGAGCGCUUAGGUUUGGGGCUGAUCCAUGUCCUCUAAAUGUAGGACUUCAAAGCUCCCAAAGAUAGGCAGACCCAGUGGGAAGCUGGGAAAUGCUCUCUGACCCCUCUGGGAGAGCUGGCAGUCAGAGGGCCUUUUGGAAAGAGUCAGACCUGAUCCAUAAGUCCCUGGAAAACACCCUGCCCAGGGAGCAAAUGCCACUGUGGCCUUGACUGAGGCUUCAGAAGAGUUUGGGAGCUGCAAUUCAUCCACACACGCAUUCAUUUUCAAGUAGUGGUUUGCAUUUCAGGCUUUGGAGCCACAUAAGCCUGGCUUCAAAGCCACUCUCCAGCUUUGUAGGAAGUCUCUACAUUUUUAAACCUCCAUUUUUUUUUCCUGUAAAA
RNAcentral lists this long non-coding RNA (792 nucleotides) under Pan troglodytes (chimpanzee). Its description in RNAcentral is "long non-coding RNA NONPTRT001058". The record is from RNAcentral. Lineage: Eukaryota; Metazoa; Chordata; Mammalia; Primates; Hominidae.